UACGUAUGGAGCAAGCGUUAACCGGAUUUACUGGGUGUAAAGGGAGCGUAGGUGGUUUAGCAAGUCAGAUGUGAAAGCCCGGGGCUCAACCCCGGUACUGCAUUUGAAACUGCCAGACUAGAGUGCAGGAGAGGUAAGUGGAAUUCCUAGUGUAGCGGUGAAAUGCGUAGAUAUUAGGAGGAACACCAGUGGCGAAGGCGGCUUACUGGACUGUAACUGACACUGGGGCUCGAAAGCGUGGGGAGCAAAC
RNAcentral lists this ribosomal RNA (250 nucleotides) under uncultured prokaryote. Its description in RNAcentral is "partial 16S ribosomal RNA". It matches the Rfam family "Bacterial small subunit ribosomal RNA", at positions 524 to 773 of the family's 1533-position model. The record is from RNAcentral.